Prinia subflava (tawny-flanked prinia) is the source of this 361-nucleotide long non-coding RNA. RefSeq lists it as uncharacterized. NCBI's taxonomy places the organism in Eukaryota, Metazoa, Chordata, Aves, Passeriformes, Cisticolidae. The record is from RefSeq and is a predicted model, not a curated record. The transcript has 4 exons.
CAGAUCAAGCAAGCUGAAGACAAACCAAGAUGAAAAUCCAUAAGUGUGCAGCCAGGUUAUUUGCAUGGACUGGAUCACUGCCUGGGAACAUGAAGAAGAUUUUUGGAGAAAAAUCAGGUGAGCUCACAAGUUUCACAAGCUCAUUUUCAGAUGGAACAGUGUAGGCAAUCUGGAGGAGAGAAUGUUACUGCUGGUUGUGAGGUAUCAAGCACAAGUCCCUGGACAGCAGUCUGGUAGAUGAAAAAAGAAUUUAAAGGAACUCUGACUGAACAUCUGAUAUUCCAGUAACAAGAGAAUUAGCUGUUCUCAAUAGAUUGUUCAUCUCUGUGGAAUGCUGAGCACUCAUGGGAUAUAAUCUGAG